Long non-coding RNA from Triticum aestivum (bread wheat), 344 nucleotides. RefSeq lists it as uncharacterized. NCBI's taxonomy places the organism in Eukaryota, Viridiplantae, Streptophyta, Magnoliopsida, Poales, Poaceae. The record is from RefSeq and is a predicted model, not a curated record. The transcript has 4 exons.
GUCCGUACAUGGAAGUUCAGAUCUCAAAAGAGUGCUCGACGCCGCCCACCCUGAUAGCGGCCAUGUCGGGGCUGGAGGUCAAGCGUGAGGACGAUGAUUCGGCGGAGCAGAGACAAAGGAGUGGCAAGUUGACAAUGCAGAGGAUAAUGAUGGUUGCUGGUCCAUACAGAUUCCUCAUGCCACAUGUGAAGGUCGACAAAGGAACUGAUGGCUUGUAUUUCAGUGAUCUACUGUUGGCUUACCAUUUGUUUUUAUAGAGGGUCGUGCAACUUGAUUGAAGAUGGGAAGAUGAUGAGAACCGCCUGAUGAAGAAGCUGCUGAGAACCAGCGCCAGCGUCUCCCAG